RNAcentral lists this ribosomal RNA (253 nucleotides) under uncultured bacterium. RNAcentral's name for it is "partial 16S ribosomal RNA". It matches the Rfam family "Bacterial small subunit ribosomal RNA", at positions 524 to 776 of the family's 1533-position model. The record is from RNAcentral.
UACGUAGGGUGCGAGCGUUGUCCGGAAUUAUUGGGCGUAAAGGGCUCGUAGGCGGUUUGUCACGUCGGGAGUGAAAACUCGGGGCUUAACCCCGAGCCUGCUUCCGAUACGGGCAGACUAGAGGUAUGCAGGGGAGAACGGAAUUCUUGGUGUAGCGGUGAAAUGCGCAGAUAUCAGGAGGAACACCGGUGGCGAAGGCGGUUCUCUGGGCAUUACCUGACGCUGAGGAGCGAAAGUGUGGGGAGCGAACAGG